RNAcentral lists this ribosomal RNA (233 nucleotides) under uncultured bacterium. Its description in RNAcentral is "partial 16S ribosomal RNA". It matches the Rfam family "Bacterial small subunit ribosomal RNA", at positions 794 to 1022 of the family's 1533-position model. The record is from RNAcentral.
UCCACGCCGUAAACGAUGUCUACUAGCCGUUGGGGGACUUGAUCCUUUAGUGGCGCAGCUAACGCAAUAAGUAGACCGCCUGGGGAGUACGGUCGCAAGAUUAAAACUCAAAUGAAAUUGACGGGGGGCCCCGGCACAAGCGGUGGAGCAUGUGGUUUAAUUCGAUGCAACGCGAAGAACCUUACCAAGACUUGACAUCCUGAGAACUUUCUAGAAAUAGUUAGGUGCCUUCG